GCGGCGAACGGGUGAGUAAUGCUUGGAUAAUCUGCCUUUAGGACUGGGACAACUACAGGAAACUGUAGCUAAUACCGGAUAUGACCACAUUUACCAAGGUUUAUGUGGUAAAAGAUUUAUCGCCUUUAGAUGAGUCCAAGUCGCAUCAGGUUGUUGGUAGGGUAAUGGCCUACCAAGCCUAUGACGCGUAGCAGGUCUUAGCGGAUGAUCUGCCACAUGGGGACUGAGAUACGGCCCUGACUCCUACGGGAGGCAGCAGUGAGGAAUAUUGGGCAAUGGACGAAAGUCUGACCCAGCGAUGCCGCGUGAAGGAUGAAGGCCUUAGGGUUGUAAACUUCUGUCAGCAGGGAAGAUAAUGACGGUACCUGCAGAGGAAGCCCCGGCUAACUCCGUGCCAGCAGCCGCGGUAAUACGGAGGGGGCAAACGUUACUCGGAUUUACUGGGCGUAAAGGGUCCGUAGGCGGUUUUUUAAGUUAGAUGUGAAAGCUUGAAGCUUAACUUCAAAAUUGCAUCUAAAACUGGAUUACUUGAUUAUUGGAGAGGUUGAUGGAAUUACCGGUGUAGCGGUGAAAUGCGUAGAUAUCGGUAGGAACACCAGUGGCGAAAGCGAUCAACUGGCCAAUUAAUGACGCUGAGGGACGAAAGCGUG
This 650-nucleotide ribosomal RNA is filed under the name uncultured marine bacterium. RNAcentral's name for it is "bacterial SSU rRNA". It matches the Rfam family "Bacterial small subunit ribosomal RNA", at positions 95 to 763 of the family's 1533-position model. The record is from RNAcentral.